CCAGCUCCAAUAGCGUAUAUUAAAGUUGUUGCAGUUAAAAAGCUCGUAGUUGAAUUUCUGGGUUCUCCGCUGCGUCUGCUUUGCAUGACGCGGCAGAGAAUUCAUCCUUGCAGUCAGCUGUCACGCAAGUGGCUGUCUACCUGCAUCCUUUACUGUGAGAAAAUUAGAGUGUUUAAAGCAGGCGUUUGCUUGAAUACAUUAGCAUGGAAUAAUGAGAUAGGGCCUCGGUACUAUUUUGUUGGUUGCGUGCCAGGGUAAUGAUUAAUAGGGACAGUUGGGGGUAUUCAUAUUUAACUGUCAGAGGUGAAAUUCUUGGAUUUGUUAAAGAUGAACAACUGCGAAAGCAUUUACCAAGGAUGUUUUCA
RNAcentral lists this ribosomal RNA (365 nucleotides) under uncultured Bicosoecida. Its description in RNAcentral is "SSU rRNA". It matches the Rfam family "Eukaryotic small subunit ribosomal RNA", at positions 585 to 972 of the family's 1831-position model. The record is from RNAcentral. Lineage: Eukaryota; Bigyra; Bicosoecida.